This 85-nucleotide transfer RNA is filed under the name Patescibacteria group bacterium. Its description in RNAcentral is "tRNA-Ser". It matches the Rfam family "tRNA". Rfam says of the family: Transfer RNA (tRNA) molecules are approximately 80 nucleotides in length. Their secondary structure includes four short double-helical elements and three loops (D, anti-codon, and T loops). Further hydrogen bonds mediate the characteristic L-shaped molecular structure. tRNAs have two regions of fundamental functional importance: the anti-codon, which is responsible for specific mRNA codon recognition, and the 3' end, to which the tRNAs corresponding amino acid is attached (by aminoacyl-tRNA synthetases). tRNAs cope with the degeneracy of the genetic code in two manners: having more than one tRNA (with a specific anti-codon) for a particular amino acid; and 'wobble' base-pairing, i.e. permitting non-standard base-pairing at the 3rd anti-codon position. RNAcentral also lists the same sequence under 1 other name. The record is from RNAcentral.
GGAGGAGCCGCACGAUGGUCGUGCAAAAGUUUGCUAAACUUUGACCCUUUACGGGGUCUUGUGGGUUCGAGUCCCACCUCCUCCG